CCUACGGGUGGCUGCAGUGAGGAAUAUUGGUCAAUGGGCGCGAGCCUGAACCAGCCACGUAGCGUGAAGGAUGACUGCCCUACGGGUUGUAAACUUCUUUUAUAAAGGAAUAAAGUGAGGCACGUGUGCCUUUUUGUAUGUACUUUAUGAAUAAGGCUCGGCUAACUCCGUGACAGCAGCCUCGGUAAUACGGAGGAUCCGAGUGUUAUCCGGAUUUAUUGGGUUUAGAGGGAGCGUAGAUGGGUUGUUAAGUCAGUUGUGAAAGUUUGCGGCUCAACCGUAAAAUUGCAAUUGAUACUGGCAGUCUGGAGUACAGGUGAGGUAAGCGGAAUUCGUGGUGUAGCGGUGAAAUGCUUAGAUAUCACGAAGAACUCCGAUUGCGAAGGCAGCUUACUAAACUGCCACUGACAUUGAGGCUCGAAAGUGUGGGUAUCAAACAGGAUUAGAUACCCGGGUAGUC
This 460-nucleotide ribosomal RNA is filed under the name uncultured bacterium. RNAcentral's name for it is "partial 16S ribosomal RNA". It matches the Rfam family "Bacterial small subunit ribosomal RNA", at positions 338 to 795 of the family's 1533-position model. The record is from RNAcentral.